Molecule: ribosomal RNA, 531 nt
Filed under: uncultured bacterium
Lineage: Bacteria
Description: bacterial SSU rRNA
Rfam family: Bacterial small subunit ribosomal RNA
Source: RNAcentral
UAGAUACCCCGGUAGUCCACGCCGUAAACGUUGGGCGCUAGAUGUGGGGACCUUUCCACGGUUUCCGUGUCGUAGCUAACGCAUUAAGCGCCCCGCCUGGGGAGUACGGCCGCAAGGCUAAAACUCAAAGGAAUUGACGGGGGCCCGCACAAGCGGCGGAGCAUGCGGAUUAAUUCGAUGCAACGCGAAGAACCUUACCAAGGCUUGACAUACACGAGAACGGGCCAGAAAUGGUCAACUCUUUGGACACUCGUGAACAGGUGGUGCAUGGUUGUCGUCAGCUCGUGUCGUGAGAUGUUGGGUUAAGUCCCGCAACGAGCGCAACCCUCGUCGCAUGUUGCCAGCACGUUAUGGUGGGGACUCAUGUGAGACUGCCGGGGUCAACUCGGAGGAAGGUGGGGAUGACGUCAAAUCAUCAUGCCCCUUAUGUCUUGGGCUUCACGCAUGCUACAAUGGCCGGUACAAAGGGCUGCGAUGUCGUAAGGCGGAGCGAAUCCCAAAAAGCCGGUCUCAGUUCGGAUUGAGGUCUGC